Desulfosporosinus sp. is the source of this 38-nucleotide regulatory RNA element. It matches the Rfam family "Selenocysteine insertion sequence 4". The record is from Rfam. NCBI's taxonomy places the organism in Bacteria, Bacillati, Bacillota, Clostridia, Eubacteriales, Desulfitobacteriaceae.
GGGACCUGUACUCGUUGCGGCGCAACGAUCGUAAAAGA